Molecule: ribosomal RNA, 431 nt
Filed under: uncultured bacterium
Lineage: Bacteria
Description: bacterial SSU rRNA
Rfam family: Bacterial small subunit ribosomal RNA
Source: RNAcentral
AUUAAACGCUGGCGGCAUGCCUUACACAUGCAAGUCGAACGGCAGCACGGGGGCAACCCUGGUGGCGAGUGGCGAACGGGUGAGUAAAGCAUCGGAACGUGCCCUGGAGUGGGGGAUAACGUAGCGAAAGUUACGCUAAUACCGCAUAUUCUGUGAGCAGGAAAGCAGGGGAUCGCAAGACCUUGCGCUCUGGGAGCGGCCGAUGUCGGAUUAGCUAGUUGGUGGGGUAAAGGCCUACCAAGGCGACGAUCCGUAGCGGGUCUGAGAGGAUGAUCCGCCACACUGGGACUGAGACACGGCCCAGACUCCUACGGGAGGCAGCAGUGGGGAAUUUUGGACAAUGGGCGAAAGCCUGAUCCAGCCAUGCCGCGUGAGUGAAGAAGGCCUUCGGGUUGUAAAGUACGUCUUUCGGUUGGGGGUAAGGAAAGUUA